GGGCCCGCACAAGCGGUGGAGCAUGUGGUUUAAUUCGACGCAACGCGAAGAACCUUACCUACUCUUGACAUCUACAGAAUUUUGCAGAGAUGCGAAAGUGCCUUCGGGAACUGUAAGACAGGUGCUGCAUGGCUGUCGUCAGCUCGUGUUGUGAAAUGUUGGGUUAAGUCCCGCAACGAGCGCAACCCUUAUCCUUAGUUGCCAGCACGUAAUGGUGGGAACUCUAGGGAGACUGCCGGUGAUAAACCGGAGGAAGGUGGGGACGACGUCAAGUCAUCAUGGCCCUUACGAGUAGGGCUACACACGUGCUACAAUGGUAUGUACAGAGGGAGGCAAGCUGGCGACAGUGAGCGGAUCUCUUAAAGCAUAUCGUAGUCCGGAUCGCAGUCUGCAACUCGACUGCGUGAAGUAGGAAUCGCUAGUAAUCGUGGAUCAGAAUGCCACGGUGAAUACGUUCCCGGGCCUU
This 466-nucleotide ribosomal RNA is filed under the name uncultured bacterium. Its description in RNAcentral is "bacterial SSU rRNA". It matches the Rfam family "Bacterial small subunit ribosomal RNA", at positions 917 to 1382 of the family's 1533-position model. The record is from RNAcentral.